This is a non-coding RNA of Paramuricea clavata, 1175 nucleotides long. The record is from the annotation of a GenBank genome assembly. NCBI's taxonomy places the organism in Eukaryota, Metazoa, Cnidaria, Anthozoa, Malacalcyonacea, Plexauridae.
CUUGUAAAUGUUUUAUAAACCAGUACUGCGAAGUAGCGAAAUUUCGGGCCGUCUUUCACAACAAAUAACAUCACAAUAACUGCACAUCAUUUUCUCUUUAAUACAGAACCAUUUUCCCCGUCCAUUGAGUUAUAAUUUCCAAAACGAACCAGUCGCUAUAACGUAAAAUAAGCGGGUAUUUGUGAACAAAAAUGCCCUUUGAUAUGACACGAGGUAACCAGCGCCAUCUUAUCUUCUCCAAACAUUACAGAAUUUCCCGCCAAAACCCGCCCCCAAAGUCCCGUAUGUACCUGACGUCACACGUGUCAUAGACGGGGGGGGGGGGGACUACCACAUCUGGUGGUAAAAAUUUUUCAAAAAUACGCACUAAAUCCAAUUUUAAUCUCUUUACCUUCGCUACUUUUGCUUUCCACAUGCCAACAAAACUAGCUUCUUAGCACAUACAUAGCAUACGCUUUAUAAAAUACUUAAAAAAAUGGACCUAAACAAUAUUGGAGCGACAACAAUUUUGGAAAGUUUCUCCGGAAAUUUUUCUCACUUGAUGAAAAAACUUUUUCAGCUCUUUUUUUCUUUUCUUUUUUUCACAUUAUUGUACGUUGGAACAGCACUAUAGUAUCAAUAGUAUCAAUAUAUAUGUAGCCUUAGAAUGUUAUAUAUUUUAUGGCAAUAUUUUAUAAAAAUUUCAUCGGCAAGUUGCUGAAUAUUUCAAAAGUAUCAACAAUUAAUAACGUUUCCAAGACCUCUCUGAAAAUCGGAAGCAAGUCAUUAAAAUGAUAUAAUUAUAUGUUCUAUUUCAUUUCAAAAAGCAAACAAAUGUUCCUCUUUUGUUACGAUAGCACUGAAUAUUUCUGAAUAUUGUUGGAAAGAAUUCCUCUUAUCAAAACAAUAACUUUGGACAAUAAAACAGCUUUGAACAAUUUGGGUGAAAUGAAGGAAAAUUUUCAUAUCAUUUGUGUGUACUAGUACUAACAAUACACAACUACUGUAAGGGGAAGAGCAUGCACUGUCAUUCAAUGAAUAAAUCAGAUUACCUGCUCAUAUGUGUAGUUAACCUAUUAAAGUAAGCUGCACUGUCGUGCCCAUAUUGUGCUCCAUAUAAAACAUAGCCAGAGAUGGGCUUGGAAAAAUUGCAUGUACAGUACAUUAUACUUUUAUUUUUGCUAUCUAAAUUUGAU